Molecule: ribosomal RNA, 521 nt
Filed under: uncultured bacterium
Lineage: Bacteria
Description: bacterial SSU rRNA
Rfam family: Bacterial small subunit ribosomal RNA
Source: RNAcentral
AGGAAUAUUGCGCAAUGGGGGAAACCCUGACGCAGCGACGCCGCGUGAGUGAGGAAGGCCUUCGGGUCGUAAAGCUCUGUCAAGAGGAAAGAAGUGUACAAUGGCUAAUACCUGUUGUAUUUGACGGUACCUCUAAAGGAAGCACCGGCUAACUCCGUGCCAGCAGCCGCGGUAAUACGGAGGGUGCAAGCGUUGUUCGGAAUCACUGGGCGUAAAGGGCGCGUAGGCGGCUUGGUAAGUCAGAUGUGAAAGCCCACGGCUUAACUGUGGAAGUGCAUUUGAAACUGUCAGGCUUGAGUACCAGAGGGGAAAGUGGAAUUCCCGGUGUAGAGGUGAAAUUCGUAGAUAUCGGGAGGAAUACCGGUGGCGAAGGCGACUUUCUGGCUGGAUACUGACGCUGAGGCGCGAAAGCGUGGGGAGCNAACAGGAUUAGAUACCCUGGUAGUCCACGCUGUAAANCGAUGUGAACUAGAUGCAGGGGGUGUUGAUCCCUUCUGUGUCGCAGCUAAACGCAUUAAGUU